Calidris pugnax (ruff) is the source of this 1100-nucleotide long non-coding RNA. RefSeq lists it as uncharacterized. NCBI's taxonomy places the organism in Eukaryota, Metazoa, Chordata, Aves, Charadriiformes, Scolopacidae. The transcript is spliced from 4 exons. The record is from RefSeq and is a predicted model, not a curated record.
CGAAAGAAUCAGCCCGAGGCCAAGCCUUGGCAGAAGACAUUUCAGCCUGGAUGAGUAACAUCUAACAAACUUACCAGCAACCGAAAGCAGGAUCUUAUAACGAGAACUGUCAGGGGUGGUAAUUACAAGCAGCGCUACCAGCUCUGUCUGCAAUGUGCAUCACCCAGAAAAGGAGGGAAGCGCAUAAAUGGUGUUCAGGUCUCCAGUCCCAAGUUGCGCAGCGCCCACAAGCAAGUAAGAAGCUGUGCUCCUGUGACUGCAAAUUGGUGCCAUCAGCUGAAGAAGGUGACCCAGCCCUGGCAUCUGGGCCAUCCCACUGGCCCACCUGACCUGUGCCUGCUGCACAGCCCAUAUGCCCAGGAUGUUGAAGACCUGCUGGGAAAUCCCCUCCUUACUCCGAAAAGUUAGAGUGCGACCAACAUGUCUGGGUUAUAGAUUACUUGGAAUGCCACCAUGAUUUGCUGAUCUUCCUAUACGUGCUUGGACUAUCCAGCAGCCAAGGAUUAUAGAGUGCUGGGGCUGAAGAUAUGAAUACUUCCUCUGGUGUGGGAGAGUAGCAGGACCACCCUCCCAGAGAGCAGUUUCUCACCAUGCCCUCUCACCCUGUCUGGCUGCCCAAACAGCAGGCACCUUCUGCAUUUUACUUGUUGGACAUACAGGAUGAAGACGAGAUGGCAGAACUGCUGCUAAUGUAUGAGAUGCAGCUCUCAUGACCUGUGGGUACCUGGAUUUUCCUGCUCAGAAGUGGCAGUGGGGACAGCAGUGUCCUGAGGCACAGGGAGGAGCAGCCCAACCCAAGACAAGGUGGUGCUGGAAAUGAUGCUGUGUGCUGAAGGCUUCAAAACAUUUGAUACACAUGGACUUCUGUGCCAGCCCUUAGAAGGCAAUUUAAUCUCCACUAUUACCAGAUCCUGAAGAGAGCACAGCACCUUGAAUCUCAGAAAUUGUGGUCUUGUCUUUUUUGAAUAAGUGCCUUACUCUCAGAGCAGAGUAAAAUCCAUCUUCCUGUCUACAUACAACGGUAAUGUUUUCUAAAGUAAUGACUUCUUAAAGCCUCAGAGGGUGGGACUUCAUUUUCCAGAUGCUGUGCAAGCAUACUU